This 254-nucleotide ribosomal RNA is filed under the name uncultured bacterium. RNAcentral's name for it is "partial 16S ribosomal RNA". It matches the Rfam family "Bacterial small subunit ribosomal RNA", at positions 524 to 776 of the family's 1533-position model. The record is from RNAcentral.
CACGUAGGGCGCAAGCGUUGUCCGGAAUUAUUGGGCGUAAAGAGCUCGUAGGCGGUGUGUCGCGUCGGCCGUGAAAACCUGCAGCUUAACUGUGGGCGUGCGGUCGAUACGGGCAUCACUGGAGUUCGGCAGGGGAGACUGGAAUUCCUGGUGUAGCGGUGAAAUGCGCAGAUAUCAGGAGGAACACCGGUGGCGAAGGCGGGUCUCUGGGCCGAUACUGACGCUGAGGAGCGAAAGCGUGGGGAGCAAACAGG